CAUUCCACAUAGCUCAGUUGGUUAGAGCAUGGUGCUGAGAACACCAAGGUUGCAGGUUCAAUCCCCGUCUGGGAUGG
Molecule: transfer RNA, 77 nt
Filed under: Podarcis lilfordi (Lilford's wall lizard)
Lineage: Eukaryota; Metazoa; Chordata; Lepidosauria; Squamata; Lacertidae
Description: tRNA.Leu
Rfam family: tRNA (bases 10-68)
About the family: Transfer RNA (tRNA) molecules are approximately 80 nucleotides in length.
Source: RNAcentral